Molecule: ribosomal RNA, 467 nt
Filed under: uncultured bacterium
Lineage: Bacteria
Description: partial 16S ribosomal RNA
Rfam family: Bacterial small subunit ribosomal RNA
Source: RNAcentral
GAUGAACGCUGGCGGCGUGCUUAACACAUGCAAGUCGAACGGAAAGGCCCAAGCUUGCUUGGGUACUCGAGUGGCGAACGGGUGCGUAACACGUGGGUGAUCUGCCCUGCACUUCGGGAUAAGCCUGGGAAACUGGGUCUAAUACCGGAUAGGACCACUUCUUGGAUGUUGUGGUGGAAAGUUUUUUCGGUGUGGGAUGAGCUCGCGGCCUAUCAGCUUGUUGGUGGGGUAAUGGCCUACCAAGGCGUCGACGGGUAGCCGGCCUGAGAGGGUGUACGGCCACAUUGGGACUGAGAUACGGCCCAGACUCCUACGGGAGGCAGCAGUGGGGAAUAUUGCACAAUGGGCGCAAGCCUGAUGCAGCGACGCCGCGUGGGGGAUGACGGCCUUCGGGUUGUAAACUCCUUUCGCUAGGGACGAAGCGUUUUGUGACGGUACCUGGAGAAGAAGCACCGGCUAACUACGUG